GUGACGCUCUUGGAUGUUGUCGUUCUCGUCACCGCUGUCUCUGGACCGUGAUCGGGGCCUGGGGGUGACGCAGAGGACAGCAGUGUUCCUCUGAAUCCUCUGUGACCUCACCGACCCACCUGCACCUGAAGCAGGGCUGUACAUAAAAGAAAAACUCAAAACAACUAAAUGGAAAAAAAAAAAAAAACGGCCAUUCAGGCACCGAUUGUUAUCUCGAUCUCUCUCCUCACCCAAAACAAGGUGGCGCUGUUAUCUAAUCGGGGCGUGUCCAUGGUGAUAACAGCUCACAGGUGGUUUUUAUGUCCGCAGCCUCUGUGAUCAUCUUUUACUAUCCAGCCUUGCAUGAGUACACACGGUGUAUACAAGGUCAGAACAAACAUGUGUUCCCUCUCAUUAACACUCUGAUUUUCUUUGAAUGAACAGUUAAACAAAGAACAGAGUGUGAUUUCAGUUCAUGGCAAACACUUGUGUAAAUAUGAGUCUCCUGGAAGCUUUUCUGGCCUCAAUCUGUGCAGAGAUGAAAUGUGAGGGGCUGCAGCUGCAGGCGUGCCAGCCAGCAGCUGGAUGUACAUGUUGUUACUUAAAAAAAAAAAAA
This is a long non-coding RNA of Poecilia latipinna (sailfin molly), 595 nucleotides long. RefSeq lists it as uncharacterized. NCBI's taxonomy places the organism in Eukaryota, Metazoa, Chordata, Actinopteri, Cyprinodontiformes, Poeciliidae. The transcript is spliced from 2 exons. The record is from RefSeq and is a predicted model, not a curated record.